CUCCUCCACACCGCGCGCCUCUUUUCUUCUUUCCGCUUUGCAUUCGGCGCGUGCACGUCCGCCGUGGUGCGGGAGUGGGCGGUCACGCGGGGUGGACCUCCUGCACAUAAAUAAGGACAGAAGACUGAACCUGUGUGUGACGUGUCCCCUCCCCAAAACCAUACAUUCAGAAUUAACUUUCACUACGCUGGGUGGGUUAAAGAACCAAUCACACCACGCCCAAAGGAGCCUCCAGAAACGUGACUCCCAGCUCUCCUCUGU
This is a long non-coding RNA of Lampris incognitus (smalleye Pacific opah), 261 nucleotides long. RefSeq lists it as uncharacterized. The transcript is spliced from 3 exons. The record is from RefSeq and is a predicted model, not a curated record. Lineage: Eukaryota; Metazoa; Chordata; Actinopteri; Lampriformes; Lampridae.